RNAcentral lists this ribosomal RNA (202 nucleotides) under uncultured bacterium. RNAcentral describes it as "partial 16S ribosomal RNA". It matches the Rfam family "Bacterial small subunit ribosomal RNA", at positions 29 to 258 of the family's 1533-position model. The record is from RNAcentral.
AACGAACGCUGGCGGCAUGCCUAACACAUGCAAGUCGAACGAGACCUUCGGGUCUAGUGGCGCACGGGUGCGUAACGCGUGGGAAUCUGCCCUUCGGUUCGGAAUAACAGUGGGAAACUACUGCUAAUACCGGAUAAUGACGUAAGUCCAAAGAUUUAUCGCCGAAGGAUGAGCCCGCGUAGGAUUAGCUAGUUGGUGGGGU